AUACGGAGGGUGCAAGCGUUAUUCGGAAUCACAGGGCGUAAAGGACGCGUAGGCGGGUUGGCAAGUCAGAUGUGAAAUGCUACAGCUUAACUGUAGCACUGCAUUUGAAACUGCUAACCUAGAGUAUGGGAGGGGGAGAUGGAAUUAGUGGUGUAGGGGUAAAAUCCGUAGAUAUCACUAGGAGUACCGAAAGCGAAGGCGAUCUCCUGGAACAUAACUGACGCUAAGGCGUGAAAGCGUGGGGAGCAAACAGGAUUAGAAACCCUAGUAGUCC
Molecule: ribosomal RNA, 274 nt
Filed under: uncultured bacterium
Lineage: Bacteria
Description: partial 16S ribosomal RNA
Rfam family: Bacterial small subunit ribosomal RNA
Source: RNAcentral